CAUGUCUUUUUGAACUUGAUUUAAGGUUUAAUCUGCUCAAUGAAGUUUAAAUUGCUGCGGUAAAUUAACUGUACUAAGGUAGCAUGAUAAGUUGUUUCUUAAUUGGGAACUUGGAUGAAUGAUUGGACAAGGAAAUCACUGUCUCUUUUGAAUUAUUUGAAUUUAAUUUUUAAGUUAAAAGGCUUAAAUUUUGAUUAAAGACGAGAAGACCCUAUAGAGUUUUAUUAUUUUUUUAUUUUUUUCGUUUUUGUUAUUGUUAUUUAUUUUUAUAUUUAGUUUUAUUGGGGUUGUAAUUAGAUUAAUUUAAUUCUUUUACUUGUUAUCAUUUUUAUUGAAUUUUUUAUCCAUAUUUAAUUAGUUUAAAAUAAAUUACCUUAGGGAUAACAGCGUUAUUUUUUUUCGAAGUUCUUAUUUGAGGAAUAUAUUGCGACCUCGAUGUUGGAUUAAAAUUUAUUAUUGGUGUAGUCUUUAAUAUUAUUAGUCUGUUCGACUAUUAAAUUUUACAUGAUCUGAGU
This 515-nucleotide ribosomal RNA is filed under the name Phengodidae sp. UPOL RK0361. RNAcentral's name for it is "partial 16S ribosomal RNA". Lineage: Eukaryota; Metazoa; Arthropoda; Insecta; Coleoptera; Phengodidae. The record is from RNAcentral.